Non-coding RNA from Vicia faba (fava bean), 312 nucleotides. The record is from the annotation of a GenBank genome assembly. Lineage: Eukaryota; Viridiplantae; Streptophyta; Magnoliopsida; Fabales; Fabaceae.
AUGGAUGAAAAAGGAGUGGGUGUACGCCGACCCUAUAGAGCGGACCCCACCGCACACGCGCUGUGCAACAAUAAUAAUGAAACAAACAAAGGACACUGUGUCAGGUCAGCAUUCAGCAUUAAUAAAAUCAACACGGGAACCAAACUUCAAAAGUCAAUAACCCCAAAACCAUUCUUUUACCCAUUUCCGUUUCUCUCUUCUUUAUCAACCAAAACUAAACCGAACCACUUCUUCAUCAUCAUAUCGUCUUUGUUACUUCAAUCAUACACCGUCCAGAUCUUCUUCGCUUUAGUUUUUAAUCGGUUAGUUUGA